CCUUGACCUCAAAUCGGGUGAGACUACCCGCUGAACUUAAGCAUAUCA
This 48-nucleotide ribosomal RNA is filed under the name Russula earlei. Its description in RNAcentral is "partial 25S large subunit ribosomal RNA". The record is from RNAcentral. Lineage: Eukaryota; Fungi; Basidiomycota; Agaricomycetes; Russulales; Russulaceae. RNAcentral also lists the same sequence under 10 other names.